GGUAUAAAAUACCCCACCAAGUUAUGCCCGUGUCCUGUUCCGUCGUAAGUCUCCGAACGGUGAGGAUGGGAUCUCACUCGUGACCGAAACCACCCGAUACGCAGUCAUAGCAGCGACAUUCGCGAGCUAGAUACAGUCUUACCGUUUGAGAUGGCUGCAGAAGCUGCUCAAGAGAAACUAUUCUGGGAGAACUUUGGGAAACUAUGAAAAUAUGGAAUGUUCCUGUGACAUAUAACUACCAGGAUGAAUCAUCAAGCACACUGGCUCUGAUGGGCUGCUUGACUUUCAUCAGUUUGGUUCGUAAAGCUGUAUCGAAACCAAAAAAUUCUCGUCAUUUAGGUUAGGUUUUUCCAAUUCUUGGUAAGUUAACUGAUAGUUAAAUCAUAUGUCUAUCUUUGUUUAAAUUGAAAAAAAAACAAAGACAAACAUAAUUUAACUAUAAUUUAACUAUUUAACUAUUACCAAGAAGUUAGAACAAUCAACCCUUAGAGUAACAUAUUUUAACUAUACAAUACCCUGAAAGUACAAAGAAUCAAGAACAGGUUUUAAUACUUAAAUACUCCAUAUAUAUAGUUCUAGUCUUUUAUAGCUCUUUUUCACAAAUGUUUCAUAACACAUCAAUGAAGUUACCUGAUUAUAAUAAUAGUAUUACAUAAAAAAAGUGAUAAUAGUUCCUAUAUUGUUGUAACACUUAACUUUGUUAAAUCCUGAACAGUACAACUUAUUGAGAAGUUGAUGUAAGUGUUACUCAUUGCUAGUUUUAUAUCGAAACACAUUUUUUACUUAGUGAAUGUAUUAUAAAAAAUUUAUAUAUAAUUUUUCAAGAUCUUUAAUGUGUUUCGUGUUUUUAUCAUUGAUAGGGAUCUUAUGGCAUUUUAUGCUAUUUAGGAUUAAAGCAAUUGAAUGAUCUCUAUGCAAAAAUAUUGUGAUAUUAAUAAAUAAUUCCUUUGUAAGUAAAGACUGAUCUAGGUCUAGAUAAGGAAGGAAACUGUUGAAAGAUGAAUGUAAGACAAAUAAAUACAUUUUGCAAAUGAACUAACGAAGUAAGGUCAUUUUUUCAUAACUUCUCUAUUCACCAGGUUAUUAAUACCAUCACUCCUUUUCAGUCUGGCACAUUCUCUAGAAAAUACGUCUUAUUGCGAGCGAGAGCUAUUGGCCACCAAUGGGGGCGACGUCGUCGUCAACUUAGAAAACUUGUACCUAUAAGAUUGCGGUGAGAUAGAAAGCGAGAGGUAGAGGAUUACGAAAAGAUAAAACGACUGAGGGAGUAUUAUAUCAUGUGUGAAUGGAAAGGGGCACGAAAGGGAGGGAAAAUAUCUGUUUCUAGAGGCUGGUUCAACCGGCGUGCAGGCAAAAUGCAAGCAAAUAUCUCACGCACAAGCCGUCAUGAUAACCGUGUGACAAUGAGAGAGGCGUCUUUCAUCUGGUGAGCUUCUACAUUUCCACUUUAGCCGAACCAGCUGCGUGUUUUCCCAGAUCCAGAACCGUUGGUUUCUGUCCGGCAUAACGCGCGUCUCCGGGGAUCAAGUCUCCGUGGUUCCCGUUAUCCCCGAGAGUCGUAGGUACGCCUCAAGUAAGAUAAUUCGCUAUGCAAGCAUGUAAACAACUUGCUGAAGAGAGUCACUGAAAUUUCAUCCUAUCCGAUGUGAAAUAUGUUGUACCACCAUAUAUGUUGCCCGGCGUUGCCAUAACCGUGUGUCCAUAGAUCUGCGAUCUCUACCACGUCCACCAUGGAGAGAAAGAAAAAGAAAGAUAAAGAUCACGGCCAGGAUAGGGCGUUAACGUAUAUGUUUUAGAUGUUUGAAGAGCAUGAGGGAAACGUUUGUGAUGUAUGUCAGAGACUGAGGAAAUGGACAAUGCAGAAAUCGGUACAAGAAGGGAGAGAAAGAGGUAGAAUGGUAUGAGUGCACGUGCAAGCACAUUGGGUGCGAGAGAAAACAGAUGUUAGGGUUGCCUCGACUUGGUAACACUCAUUUCAACCUAAGACUUGAGUUUUAUUUAGUUUCUAAUUGAUACACUUUAAUACAAUGUUUCUAAAAUUUUGUCGAAUUUCUCGAUCGCGAGGUGUCUAAAGACUCGAGGAUUCAAGAGUCCGGGGAUUCGAGAGACUUUAAUCCAGGGGCUCUAAGGAUUUUCCGCAUGCCCGCGUCCAGGACUCUGGACCACGCCAAGCUUUCGGCAAUUCGAAGGCACCUCGAAGUCCAAGGAUCUCGGAAUCUAAGAUCUUGGUAUCUAUUGGUCUCGGUAUUGUCACGUGAAUCCGAAUCGAGGGAUCUACUGCGAAAGAGAAUAUAACAAGAUGAAAGUAUGCAGAGAGAGAGAGAGAGAGAGUAGGAAUUAUUAUCUAACAUACACAUGUGUGUGUGUGUAUGUGUGUGUGUGUGUGAGGAAGGAUACGAAGAACAAAAGGAGCAAGUUGCUUGCGAGUAUUCGUUGAUGCGCUGAUCGUUUUCCAUUCGAUAACUCGGACGAUAAGUAUAUUCAUACGUGUACUGUGUGGACUGAUAUUGCUAUUUAGCAACCUAUAUACGUGCACUGAUGCUCGAUUGCUUGACGCAUAAUUGUGGAUGACACUCGCUGAACAAGACAACGACCUCGGUUUGGUAACGAAAUAUCAGGCAUAUUAUGGUAACCUUGACACAUUAAUAUGUUCUUGGUAAUAUACUGGGCAGUUCUCCUUAUGGGCAGAAUGGGAGGGAUGAGGGGAGGGGGGUUUACAAAUGAGACAAAUCUUUUUGGCUACAGAACGUUGCGUAAGUCUGGAGGAUCUCUCGUCCGACUCAACCGAUGACGGCUAGCGAAGAAUGCAGUUUGAGUCACUCGAGAUUUUAUCUCAUAUCGACCCGAUAUCGCUCGAAAACCUCGAAGAGAGGAAGAGAAAGGGAGAUUAUGAAACACAUUCUAUUCUAACGAAGAGAUAAUGCGGUCUGUCGAACGUGGACAUCUCGAAGAGACUUGGCUUCAUAAAUGGCUUGAGAGACAAAGUUUUUUUCUACACAAUUUUCUACAAAUUUAUCUGUGUGCUAGCGUAACCAGCUAUCGUUCCUCUUGUGCUAUAAUCAUAAUUCGUACUUAACUAUGUUUAUAUAUUGCGGAUUGCUCUGUUCCGUACUUUUUGUGUUUCACACAGCAGGCGCCAGAACGAAAGAGCUAAAACUCCCCCUUGGUAGAUUAAAGAAACGGCACCGAGACAUCUCUUCACUCGUACAUCUAGCCGACAAACUGUAUAAGGCUAUAAACAUUAUUCGGUCAUCACCGGGAGCACAUGCAGUGUAUGCACAUAUCCGGGCAUCUUGGAGUGUGUCGCGUGAAAAAAACGCCGGAGGUAACGAGAAACGAGAAAAGAUCGUCGACGAUCCCCGUGGUCCGUGUAUUCUGAAGUAGGUAGCAUUUAGAAGGGGCUUCGGGAUGGGGCAAAACAAUGUUCUUAUGAGUCACAGGAUGACACAACGGCACUUCGCAUGAUGACAAUGGGGGAAAACGUGCUUGGAAGGCUUUUCCCGCUUCAAGAUAAAUCGAGGAGACCGUUAGAGAUAACAGUUGAGAUAAUCGCUUUGCACUCGGUGAGAGAUCGGUUUAGCCCUGACGAGAUGUACCUUCAUCACAAUCUGUAAAACAAGCACAGAAAUUCCAUGAGGAUGCGUUAAAUCCAAACAUCUGAACUAUGAGGACCACAGAAUCCAAAAAAUAGGUUACAUUUGAAGGAUCUAAUCACCCCCCCCCGAGAACCAGAAAUUCAAGACUUCUAAUUCAAAGGAAUCCGAGUCUCUCAGGAUUCAAGGAUCUAAUUAUUCAAGUGUCUCUAUGAGACCUUCUCUUCCGUCCGACCACACGAUUUCUUUAGAUAAAUGCUCUUCCUUUCAGAUUACAUUUCAAAAUUUCAUCGGAAAUUCAGUCGGAAUUAUCUUAUCGAGACGAUCCGCGUGAUACAUUCGAAAAUAUCUUUGUUUCGUAAAGAAGAUAAUAACUGGUGUGUAUUUCACACGAUGAAGAGCAAUUUUAUAUCGAGACGACAUCUGAAAACGUGUCAAACGACAAAUUCAUUCCAACGAUAAAUGACGAUUUAUUGAAAUCUUCACGCUCGAGGAAAGGAGAAUCAUUACUAUACCGCAUAAAAGUGUUUCUCUAGAAGGUAUCCGAUUUUAGAAGGUAUUGAAAAAGAGAGGUAUAUCAUUUUAUUCACUACAAUCUAUCGGGUAACAUACUCAUUUACAGGUCCAUUUAUCAUGUUUGGGGAUGUACCGGGAGGGAGCGGGAAAACAAAAAUCAUUUUAUUUUUUUUCACAGAAAGCUGUUAUUUGAAAGCAGUAUUCGUUUUCGCGUCCGGAGUGCGUUCUAUCUUCACAGAAUAAGUAGCACAGUUUGAUCGUUGAAGAUGAUGUUCCUCAGUGUGAUAUCAUGUCUCUAAAUGGCCACGACCAUAAAAUGACAAGUGUACAAUGGGUUGACCAGAUGGACUUGGCUUACUUCAGCGGCAAAGAAAGCAACAAGUUCCUAAAAAUUUCAAUUACGAGAUCUUUGCGGGAAAUGUGUUCGUGAACAUUAAGAGCUUCAGAAGCGAGUUAUCAAUAUAUCAGGGUACGAUAAAAACCUAAUAGGAGAAUCAUCGACCUGUAAGUCUCUCUGUAAGAACUCAGAUAAGCACCUUUUGAGGGAGGGAAAUUGCGGCGUUAUGAGGGGGCGGGGAGGGCACUAAUCCUGCAGGAUAUUCGAAGCGUUUCAGUGUCCGGAACCCUUUUAUCCGAGGAUCGCUAGCCUCACCUUAAAAAGCGGGUUCGCGCGGAAUCCUAGAAGCCUUGCAUAUGAGCGAUCGACCUCGGGGACGUGCGCUUCCUUCCAUCCGCUCGUCGACAAGGUCGCGGGCAACCUUUCGAACUUUUUGUCGAUAUUCCGAAGCGACCGUCCACGACGGAGAGAGGCACGUGAGUUUACCCGCCUCUCUAUCACCUUGCCCGCUAACGGAGUGUUUUAGAACGGCGUGAAACGGCCGUUGAGCUUGUGCGUCACCGUGAUUCUACAAACUACUCGUCGCUGGUCUUCCAACACCCGCUCGACUGCGCGUGCAGUCGUCCUGGUCGUUUGGUCCUUCAUCUACUUUCGUUGGUCUCCUUCGAGCCCUUCAAGAUCUUCCAUUGGCAUGCAAGUUGUCUGCGUUGUAUGCAGUUUGCUGUCAGCCGGAGAGAGUGUUUUUUCAUGGAACAGGAUUACGAACAACCGAUACUUUUCAAUAGGGCCGUCGCAGAGAAUGCAGAGUUCCAGCAAAACAGCAUAUUUUUACUUCCAAAAAGAAUUAUUGCCCUAGACAUCAUUUGCACGGAAAAUCAUCUAUCAUAUUUCAUAAGUGUCGCGUUAGAAAAUACCGGAUUUGGAAGAAAUAUUAUCUAAGGACCGCAGCUGAUCAUCGAGGGACAUCGUCGCAGAAGAGAAUCAUGGGAUCGCCGCAGAAGAGGAUCUUCCUGGAAUCUUGCUGUAGGAGUGGAUCGCCGUGGGACUUUGUUACAGAAGAAAAUCAUUGGAUAACUUUAUUAUAUUAUAUAGAAGAGGAUCGUUUUGAUUCGGCUUCAUCGUAGGACUUCAUCGCAGAAGAGGAUCAUCCUGGCAUUUCACCGCAGAAGAGGAUCAUCGGUGUGGGAUUUCAUCGCAGAAGAUCGUCGUGGGACUCUAUCGCAGAAGAGGAUCGUCGUAGGAUUCCGCCGCAGAAGAGGAUCAUCGUGGGAUUCCAUCGUAGAAGAGAAUCGUCGCAGGACUCCGUCGCAGAAGAGAAUCGUUCUAGAAGAACUACAUCGCAAAAAAAACUGCGUUUUCAUAGAUGAAAAUCAGACAAUUUUAUCACAAAAUAUUACCAUAGUACCUUCAUCGAGGAUCAUUGCAGAAGAGAAUUGUCGUGAGACUACGUAGUAGAAGAAAAUUCUCAUGUGGUUUCGUCGCAGGAGAGGAUUGUCUUGGGACUUCAUCGCAGAAGAGGAUCAUCGUAGGACUUCAUCGCAGAAGAGGAUCAUCGUAGGACUUCAUCGCAGAAGAGGAUCAUCAUAGGAUGACAUCGCAGAAGAGAAAAUCAUCGAGGGACUUCGUAACAGAAGAAAACUCUCAUGUGAUGAAAGCAGAAUCAUUAGAGGAACUUUGUUGUAGAAAGCAUCAUUGCGUGGCUUUGCUGCAGAAGAAAAUUGUCGAGUGGCUUGCGAGAUUCUGUAGAAGAGGAUCGUCGCGGGACUUUAUGGUGGAUAAGAAACAGAUAUCUAAUAUGAAAUUUUCUUAAAAAUAAAUGUCACUGGAAAAUUUACAUUAUUUUAACAUUAUAAAGCUCACAUUUGUCGUAUACAUUAAAUAUAGUUGAAAUUAGAUCUCCAAAAUGUACAAAGAGAACAUGAAUUUUUCAUAUUAGAGUUUCAUAUAAAUUAUGAAUUUAAACCUUAAUUAUAAUAGAAGUAACGUCAUUAAACUUGAAUCGAAGAGCAUCACAAUAUUUCAUAUUCAAUUAUCCACAUUAUGAGAUUUAUAUCUGAAUUUCUUAAAUAUUAUAAUAUACUCGGAAUAUAUUCAUAAUAUACUCGGAAUUUUGUCAAUAUGUGAGUUUUCUGAAUCUUAUACAUCGUGGGAUCUGAAUCUUCGACGUCAUGGAACCUGGAUCUUUAACAUCGUGGGACCUGGACCUUCCGACAUCGUGGGACCCUGGACUUUCCGACAUCGUGGGACCCUGGACCUUCCGACAUCGUGGGACCCUGGACCUUCCGACAUCGUGGGACCCUGGACCUUCCGACAUCGUGGGACCCUGGACCUCCCGACAUCGUGGGACCCUGGACCUUCCGACAUCGUGGGACCCUGGACCUUCCGACAUCGUGGGACCUGGAUCUUCCGAUAUCAUGGAAUCUGGAUUUUCAACAUGGUGGGACUUGAAUCUUCGACAACGUGGGAUCUGGAUUUU
Long non-coding RNA from Harpegnathos saltator (Jerdon's jumping ant), 6922 nucleotides. RefSeq lists it as uncharacterized. NCBI's taxonomy places the organism in Eukaryota, Metazoa, Arthropoda, Insecta, Hymenoptera, Formicidae. The transcript is spliced from 3 exons. The record is from RefSeq and is a predicted model, not a curated record.